AAGCGCCAGAGCUGCCGUGCAGGGCAUGCUGACGAGGUGGAAGUGAUCGAAAAUUCGGCGGAUGCUUCCCGCCCGGCCAGACACGCGGGCGAUGGCGUUUCUACAAAUCCUGCGGGAAACCACAGGCACAGAAGGAA
RNAcentral lists this non-coding RNA (137 nucleotides) under Butyricicoccus porcorum. RNAcentral describes it as "glmS glucosamine-6-phosphate activated ribozyme". It matches the Rfam family "glmS glucosamine-6-phosphate activated ribozyme aptamer", at positions 11 to 153 of the family's 167-position model. Rfam says of the family: This entry contains a glucosamine-6-phosphate activated ribozyme that is found in the mRNA for GlmS. GlmS is an enzyme that uses fructose-6-phosphate and glutamine to generate glucosamine-6-phosphate. The record is from RNAcentral. Lineage: Bacteria; Bacillati; Bacillota; Clostridia; Eubacteriales; Butyricicoccaceae.